UACGUAGGGUGCAAGCGUUAAUCGGAAUUACUGGGCGUAAAGCGUGCGCAGGCGGGUUGUUAAGUCAGGGGUGAAAUCCCGGAGCUCAACUCCGGAACUGCCUUUGAUACUGGCAACCUAGAGGCUGGAAGAGGUUAGUGGAAUUCCCAGUGUAGAGGUGAAAUUCGUAGAUAUUGGGAAGAACACCAGUGGCGAAGGCGGCUAACUGGUCCAGUACUGACGCUGAGGUGCGAAAGCGUGGGGAGCAAACAGG
This 253-nucleotide ribosomal RNA is filed under the name uncultured bacterium. RNAcentral's name for it is "partial 16S ribosomal RNA". It matches the Rfam family "Bacterial small subunit ribosomal RNA", at positions 524 to 776 of the family's 1533-position model. The record is from RNAcentral.